AGCACUGGCGCUACCGGCAUUUCGUGCACAUGAACAAAAUCAGAAAUUGUGCACAUUAUAUAUUACCCUCUGAGAACAUUCAUGGACAUUGGCUUAGUUCAUGUCCACGUUUUCAAUGUCCAUAGAGGGAGUAUCGCUUUCACAGAUCACCUAAAAGGACCCUGCUAUAGAUUAUGUAUAGUCCAAUUAUGGGAACGGACCGAGAUGAAAUAUUUUUACACAUACUUCGCGAAGAAAAGAAUAUUAAUAAUUUUUUGGAUGCCUUUUUUGGAUUUUUAUACAGAUGAUUUUUACGUCGAAUCAAAUUCGGAGCAAAAAUUGGGCUUCCCAUCUGGAGUAGCAGAGAAACUUGUGUUAAGUAGCAUGUACAAAUGGAAAAAUAUUGCAUCAACUUUACAAAAGACAAUAUCAUCUGUAGAGGAUAGCACACUCAAUAAUAGCAGUAGCGUAUCACAUUCAAAUCAAUUGACUUUGACAGACAAUAAAAAUUGCAGUCUUACUCCACCAGUUGUGCAAGAAAUUGAGAUUGACUCAUGCACUGAAUCUACGGAUGUUAAUCUACCUCUUGCAGAAUCACUCAAGAUAGAUCAUGUAUCAGAUAGUUAUAAUGGAGCUAUAAGAGACAAUUAUGUAUGGACACAGACACUCAAUGAUUUGGAUGUACUGGUAAAAAUACCAGAACAUAUUAAAACAUCCAAAGAUACGAUCAAAGUCAAUAUAAGUUCAGACGAAAUCAAAAUCGAUGUCAAGCCUUUAAAUUCUUUAGCAAAUUGUGAAUGGGAUAACAUUUUUGAUGGCAAGCUUAGUUUUAAGAUUCGAAAAGAUGAAUCUAUAUGGAGUAUUGAACCUGGAAAACACAUAAAUAUUCAUCUUGAGAAAGCUACUGAAAGAUGGUGGGAAGCCUUAAUAAUCGAUGAACCGAAAAUCGACUUAAGCAAAAUUGAUUGUUCGAAACAUUUCGAUGAUAUGAUGCCAGAGGAACAGAUGAAAGUACAGAAAUUAAUGUGGAAUCAACAACAAAAACUUUUAGGCAAAUCCACAUCUGAACAAAUUAAGAUGGAGGCUAUUUUGAAGCAGGCAUGGAAUGCAAAAGGAUCACCUUUUCAGGGAAAUACAAAGCGUCUACGAAAGCAAAAAGCGACGCUUCCGCGAGCAAAAGAACUCUGCGGCGACACCCUGUGAAAUCAUGAGCGAUCCAAGAGUUCACAGAAUGCGAGGAAUCCUACGCUUUUCCCCGACGUUUACGCUGACUUUAUCUCACGCUGGUGGUGGGAUCGCUAGGGACGAGCUGUUGAAUAAUAACACUUGCAACGACUGUGACGGUCGGAAGUCUGAGGAAUUCCUGCGAAAGGAUAGCGGAUCUUUUUUCCGAAUGAAGAGAUCUUCCCCGAGCUUCUUGAUGCCAGGUGCGGCAGGUCGCGCGCGUUGAGCACCGCUGCGGGUAAAACACAGGUAAUAUACCUGCCCGAGGCUACGAGUCCGUCCCCACCUGGGGUCCGGUUCUCUCUCCUCGCUCUCUCGGCUGGCUCUCGGCUCUGGCUUUCCUUCGAGGCCAGUCGAGCCGUUAGUGUCGUUGCCGUUGCCAGAAGAACGGUGCUGUGAUGUGCAUCGUGGUGGAGCACGCAUCCUGAAGGACGUACUCGUCGACCAUCCACCGAGAUUCCGGGGUUCGCUGGAACCUCCGAACUCCGCAGUCCCUUCCUCCUCCUCGAAUCGCGGUGAUCACCCUUCGGUCCUCGCGUUCUCCAAAGCCCGCUCUCGCGGUCCAGCUCUCCUCCUCUCCGUUUCUCACCUAUAAAAACACACCGCGCGGUAACACGCUUCGCGUGGCAACUCUUCCUUCCCCGGAAGGUGCGCGGAUGCCCAAGUAAACGGUAGUAAGUAAGCACGUAAGUUGCGCGGUGAGUUGUGAGGUGAAGCUAACGGAAGACGAUCGAGGAGGAAGAGGGCUCCAAGAGGAGAGA
RNA transcript from Camponotus floridanus (Florida carpenter ant), 1964 nucleotides. It is a transcript of the gene named nudC domain-containing protein 3, with no coding region annotated. NCBI's taxonomy places the organism in Eukaryota, Metazoa, Arthropoda, Insecta, Hymenoptera, Formicidae. The transcript is spliced from 7 exons. The record is from RefSeq and is a predicted model, not a curated record.